Molecule: ribosomal RNA, 665 nt
Filed under: uncultured cyanobacterium
Lineage: Bacteria; Bacillati; Cyanobacteriota
Description: bacterial SSU rRNA
Rfam family: Bacterial small subunit ribosomal RNA
Source: RNAcentral
CGGACGGGUGAGUAACGCGUGAGAAUCUGGCUUCAGGUCUGGGACAACCACUGGAAACGGUGGCUAAUACCGGAUGUGCCCUUCGGGGUGAAAGAUUAAUUGCCUGAAGAUGAGCUCGCGUCUGAUUAGCUAGUUGGAAGUGUAAUGGACUCCCAAGGCGACGAUCAGUAGCUGGUCUGAGAGGACGAUCAGCCACACUGGGACUGAGACGCGGCCCAGACUCCUACGGGAGGCAGCAGUGGGGAAUUUUCCGCAAUGGGCGAAAGCCUGACGGAGCAAUACCGCGUGAGGGAGGAAGGCUCUUGGGUCGUAAACCUCUUUUCUCAGGGAAGAACACAAUGACGGUACCUGAGGAAUAAGCAUCGGCUAACUCCGUGCCAGCAGCCGCGGUAAUACGGAGGAUGCAAGCGUUAUCCGGAAUGAUUGGGCGUAAAGCGUCCGCAGGUGGCAAUGUAAGUCUGCUGUUAAAGAGUCUAGCUCAACUAGAUAAAAGCAGUGGAAACUACAUAGCUAGAGUACGUUCGGGGCAGAGGGAAUUCCUGGUGUAGCGGUGAAAUGCGUAGAGAUCAGGAAGAACACCAGUGGCGAAGGCGCUCUGCUAGGCCGUAACUGACACUGAGGGACGAAAGCUAGGGGAGCGAAUGGGAUUAGAUACCCCAGUAGUC